AUUGGACGCUGGCGGCAGGCCUAACACAUGCAAGUCGAGCGGAUGAAGGGAGCUUGCUCCUGGAUUCCGCGGCGGACGGGUGAGUGAUGCCUAGGAAUCUGCCUGGUAGUGGGGGAUAACGUCCGGAAACGGGCGCUAAUACCGCAUACGUCCUGAGGGAGAAAGUGGGGGAUCUUCGGACCUCACGCUCUCAGAUGAGCCUAGGUCGGAUUAGCUAGUUGGUGGGGUAAAGGCCUACCAAGGCGACGAUCCGUAACUGGUCUGAGAGGAUGAUCAGUCACACUGGAACUGAGACACGGUCCAGACUCCUACGGGAGGCAGCAGUGGGGAAUAUUGGACAAUGGGCGAAAGCCUGAUCCAGCCAUGCCGCGUGUGUGAAGAAGGUCUUCGGAUUGUAAAGCACUUUAAGUUGGGAGGAAGGGCAGUAAGUUAAUACCUUGCUGUUUUGACGUUACCAACAGAAUAAGCACCGGCUAACUUCGUG
This 484-nucleotide ribosomal RNA is filed under the name uncultured bacterium. RNAcentral describes it as "partial 16S ribosomal RNA". It matches the Rfam family "Bacterial small subunit ribosomal RNA", at positions 30 to 507 of the family's 1533-position model. The record is from RNAcentral.